Long non-coding RNA from Globicephala melas (long-finned pilot whale), 3570 nucleotides. RefSeq lists it as uncharacterized. NCBI's taxonomy places the organism in Eukaryota, Metazoa, Chordata, Mammalia, Artiodactyla, Delphinidae. The record is from RefSeq and is a predicted model, not a curated record.
AGAGAAAAGAAUGUUCCAGGAGCCCCCGUCCAGCGGGACAGGGGAGUCUGAAGCCCACCGUGAGAAACCUGCCCCGAAGCCCUGCCCGACUGGCUCUCCCCUUACUUUCAAAGGCUGGUGGGAUGUGCAGCCGUGGGGGAUAGAACCGGGGAUGCUGAGAGCUAAGCUGGGAGGCACAUGGGGUCCAGAGGAGAGAAGCAGCGAGUAGAUGGUCCAUGGAUACACGAGCUUCAGGAACAGCUUCAUCCAGGGUCCAGCUGAUGUCCCUUGGCAAAAUCUCUCUGCUCUCUUCGCAAGGAUCGCUGAAGCAGUGAAUUUCAAAGACUCCGUGAGGCCUGCAGCCAGUUACCAUAUUUCCCUGGAGGAAUCACUACCCCUGGCUCUCCCAGGGAGUGUUAGGCGCUUCUCUUCACGUCAUCCGUCUCAUGCACAAACAGACCAUCCAGCUCAGCGGCAAGCAGCGCGCCCAAGUCUGCAAAUCAAAAUCCAUUUGAAUUUGUUUAAGGGGAGUGGAGCGCAUUCACUGGUCCAGGCAUGUGCCUUCUGGGCUGUUGCGUCACCACCUUUGGAAAAACACGUGAGGUGGGGCCCACGGAUAGGCCGUGACUUGUCCCGCAGGGAUUUGAAACGCCGUGAUGGGCGUUGUGCCCUCGCGGGAGAGAUCUGCUCCUCAGGCACUUACCUGACAGGUCUUGGCUCAUCGGUGAUUCACAGUGAUUUUGCCCUCCAGGAUUUCGGGGGGGCCUUGGUGUCAUGAGGACACAUUUCCUGUGUCUGGAGGACGACGCAUUCUCGUGGGAAAGCGUGAGUUGGGGCAGAGUGCUUCCUCGUCCUGGCAGGUUCCCCAUGGUCCAGAGGCAGAAGCGCCGCGGCGUUGGUGAAAGUCUUCAGGACCUGCUGGCGCAUGUGGGGGAAGCGUCUGCGCAUUGUUAAUGAGGCUUCUUGAUCUGUCAAGACAUUUAACAUUUAAUACGUGUCAUUAAUGAUUCAGAGAAGCAGCAUUCCGUGCUCUUGGGAGGAGCACGUGCCAGUGUGGGACGUGAGCAUCUAGAGGGACGGGAGGGCCCUGCCUCCCUCGGCUCACACGGGAGCGGGGUGCCACCCCUCCUCGUUCCCACAGGCCCCGUGGCAGGUGCUACACACUGGGGCCCCACUGCAGACGUGCUUUUCUAUUGAAAGUCAGUGAGAAAAGCAGGGUUCUCAGCUUUCCUUAAAAAAAGGUAAUAGAGUUUUUGAGCAAAACCAUCUUCCAUGUCCCUGACAAGAGCCGCCUACAGUGGCUCAGAAUAUGACCUACAGCCCUUGAGGAGGGACUAAAGGGCCUUGACUCUGUUUAGUGGCCGCACUUAAUACUUGGUGUUGCUUGACUGUUUUCCUUUGCUUCUGCAUUUUCUCACUUCUCUGAUUAAACUUAUUCUCUGGCUGAAGUUCUUCCACAGACAGAAGGCAGGCGGAGCACGUUGUGUGGCCCGUCUCGCCUCCCGCACCCUUUACUCGUCACAGCGCGCUGCUGCCCGCUUACCUCCCACCUUACCGGCCCUUCCUUCUCGGUCUCCUUUUCAGGCUCAGCCUCCCCACUGCAAGUUAAGCGUUCUGCAGAGGUGCAUCCUGGGUCUCUUCUCUCCUCACUGUAUUUCUUUCUGUAGUUAACCUUAUCAUUCCCCAGGCCUUCGAAACUGCCCGUACGUUGAUGGAUCCCAAAGUUAUGUCUCUAGAAUAUUCCUACCUCUUAGCUCUAGAUUCAUGGGUCCAGUUGUUUCCUUGAUGUCUGCAUCUGGAUGUCUCGCGGGCAGUGCAGCGUCCACAGGCCAAAGUCAUCUCCGGUCCCUCACUUCAGACCUCGCUCAGCGUUUCCACUUUGCUAAACUGAACCACAGUCCAUUGACCUGGACGAAUCAAGAGAACCCAUUCCUUGUAUUCCCUUUCCCUGACUCUCCUCGUAUCCAGCUCACUGCUAACUGUUGAUUUCAUGUCCAAAAUUCCCUGAAAUCCACCCAGUUUCCUCGUCUCCACGGCCUCCACCCCCAAGUGCACCCAGUGCCAUUUCUUGCCUGGUGCCCGCGCAGCCUCCUAGCUGGACUCCUGCCCUCUGCACUCCCUGUGGCAGAUCGAGUGCUUUUUUAAGAAACAAGUCUGGUCGUCUGCCUCCUGUACCACUCUCCUUUUCUGUCUCUGCCUCAGCCACUGGGCCUUUGCACACGCUGUUCACCCAGCCCAAAGCCCUCUCCUCCCUCUCUGGUCACUGCUGGCCGCCCCGUGCCUCACCUCCUGGGCCAGGGAGCACCACUGCACUGUCCCCCAUUCCUUGUUGGCAUACCCUCCUGGGCCAGGAGGCGCCCCUGUGCUGUCCCCCAUUCCUUGUUGGUACUUACACGCCUCCUGUGGCCACUCACUACCUGUUGCUCUUUUCUGCUAGACUGUCAGCUCAUGGUUUGGGUUCAUCAUGGAAUGCACAGCACACGGCAUACAAUAGGGACUCGACGAAUAUCUACAGUAUAAAAUGAAAUACAGAUAAUAGUCCUUGGUAAAUGGAAAUCAGAGGUUAGAAAAGGCUGCUGACACAGUGCGGCUGCGGUGGCUGCAGGACCCGAGUCCCGGUGUGAGACACCAGAGCCAGGGUGCUGCUCUGUGUCUCCUCCGAGGGCGAGGCCGGGCUUCAUCUGCAUCUGCCCCGUGUUUGUGUUCACGCCCCGGGCAGGAACUGCAGUGCGCUGCUGAGCUGGUAAUUUAAUGAGCACAGACGUCCGUCCAUCAGACAGUCUGGUUCAGCUACUGUUUUAAGAGAUUUGAAGAUAAAUCUAGUGCGAAGGUCAGUCACUUAAAUCGUCUGUUAUUGUCUAUUAAGGAAAAUGUGUACAACAGGAUUAACAUGUAGCUGGCCCUCCAUGUCUGUGAGUUCUGUCCAUGGAUUCAACCCACCUCAGAUCGAAAAUACCGGGGAAAACAUUCCAGAAAGUUCCCAAAGGCAAAACCUGAAUUUGCUGCAAGGCAACUAUUUACAUAGCAUUUAAAAUGUAUCUACAGUUGUGUACACGGCUUGUACCUCAUUUUAGGUUUUAUGAGAUCUGGAGAUGAUUUAAAGCAUGGAAGGAGGGGCAUAGUUAUACGCAAAUGCUAUGCCAGUGUCUAUAAAGGACCUGAGCACCUGUGGAUUUCGGUGUCCUUGGGGGGGUCCUGGAACCAAUCCCUGUGGAUACUGAGGGACCGCUGCAAUUCACAAUAAAACAUGGAAAAAGAUAUUUAUUUUUCGAGACACUGAACCAUUUAGUUGUUACAAGUAUACAUACAUUUUAAGAAGCAGUAAUUAUAAUGUAGACAAGCUUUUUAUUCUCACAGUUAAUUAUAAUUGUGAAAGGCAGGGUUAUCGCAUGGAGAGUCACCAGAUCACAUCCCCCGCAGAUUAAGUUGUAUCAUUAAAGUGUACCCACCGCCUCCUUAUUUGUCUGAUUUUUUUUUUUUAAUACUUGUGCUCUAAAAACACGGAAGUCAGAGAUAUGGGAACAUAUGUAUAUGUGUAACUGAUGCACUUUGUUAUAAAGCAGAAACUAACACACCAUUGUAAAGCAAUUA